AAGUCGUAACAAGGUCUCCGUAGGUGAACCUGCGGAGGGAUCAUUAACACGUUUCCAAACGUUUCCAACCAAACCGUGAACUGCCUGAGCUUCGGCUUGGGGAUCUCCCUGGGAGGGGCAAUUGCUGUUUCGACAUGCUGAGGAGUGAGGAUAGGCGCAAGCCUAUGCUAGCAUGGCGAGACUAGAGGUUCGACCUCGAGGCAGCUUCUUUCAGGCUAUUUUUUCUCCACUCUCUCAACUAUUAACCUAUUUCACCACUUUAAUACCAAUUGACUGAUCUUAUAUUCCUCGGGAGAAAUCCCUUGGGAUUCAAGUGUAUCCAACACUACUAGUACAACUCUUAGCAAUGGAUAUCUUGGUUCUC
This 364-nucleotide unclassified non-coding RNA is filed under the name fungal sp. RNAcentral's name for it is "partial internal transcribed spacer region". The stretch from base 1 to 46 matches the Rfam family "Eukaryotic small subunit ribosomal RNA", at positions 1786 to 1831 of the family's 1831-position model. Lineage: Eukaryota; Fungi. The record is from RNAcentral.